Non-coding RNA from Larimichthys crocea (large yellow croaker), 114 nucleotides. NCBI's taxonomy places the organism in Eukaryota, Metazoa, Chordata, Actinopteri, Sciaenidae. The record is from Rfam.
GUGGGCUAUGGUGACAUGUACCCAGAGACAGUGUGGGGAAAGCUGGUGGGCUCAAUGUGUGCCAUUGCUGGAGUGCUUACCAUCUCACUGCCAGUGCCUGUUAUAGUAUCCAAC